Molecule: long non-coding RNA, 155 nt
Organism: Panthera uncia (snow leopard)
Lineage: Eukaryota; Metazoa; Chordata; Mammalia; Carnivora; Felidae
Exons: 2
Source: RefSeq, a predicted model, not a curated record
CGUAGCCUCAGGCUACUCCUGACCUUCUGCGGAUUCCAGAUGGAGGAUCGUCUUCCUCCUGACCAGCGCUGACCACAGGAUCUUAUCCAGGAUACUACAUUGUAUUUAGUCCUGUGUCUCCUUAGGCUCCUCUUCCCGGUGACAGUUCCUCAGGU